Molecule: ribosomal RNA, 465 nt
Filed under: Vreelandella stevensii
Lineage: Bacteria; Pseudomonadati; Pseudomonadota; Gammaproteobacteria; Oceanospirillales; Halomonadaceae
Description: partial 16S ribosomal RNA
Rfam family: Bacterial small subunit ribosomal RNA
Source: RNAcentral
CCUACGGGAUGCAGCAGUGGGGAAUAUUGGACAAUGGGCGAAAGCCUGAUCCAGCCAUGCCGCGUGUGUGAAGAAGGCCUUCGGGUUGUAAAGCACUUUCAGUGGGGAAGAAAGCCUUGGGGCUAAUACCCUCGAGGAAGGACAUCACCCACAGAAGAAGCACCGGCUAACUCCGUGCCAGCAGCCGCGGUAAUACGGAGGGUGCGAGCGUUAAUCGGAAUUACUGGGCGUAAAGCGCGCGUAGGCGGUCUGAUAAGCCGGUUGUGAAAGCCCCGGGCUCAACCUGGGAACGGCAUCCGGAACUGUCAGGCUAGAGUGCAGGAGAGGAAGGUAGAAUUCCCGGUGUAGCGGUGAAAUGCGUAGAGAUCGGGAGGAAUACCAGUGGCGAAGGCGGCCUUCUGGACUGACACUGACGCUGAGGUGCGAAAGCGUGGGUAGCAAACAGGAUUAGAUACCCUAGUAGUC